UGGUUUUAAAGUUCUAAAGCAAGUUAUGAUUAACAUUUGACAAAGGUGGUGAUGUUUUCUCUUUAUGUAAUUAAAAACAGCUUUAUUUAUAUAUUGUACCAGCUGUAUUCAAAAUGCCACACUAUUUGUAUUCUCAGGAAUUUUCCCAUUUUUGAUUUUGUUUUUUAGUCGCUUCAUUGGGAUUAACCCAGAAAGGGGCACAAAAGUCGGUCAUGGGAAAAUGGUAUCCAAAAAGACAGGAAAGACCAUUCAAAAGAAAAAGUGACGGUCAAUGUUCAGGUUUCCCCCCUCAUCAAACACCUGAUGGACUUUGAGUGGCAUCUCAUUCAGAGUGUUAUGGGGUUCCCCUGUCUGACUCUGCUGACUUCCACUCCCAUGUGAUGGACCUGUCAUGUGGGCGAGGGAUCAGGAGAGCGAGAGGACCAGGACCGAUGCUGAUCUGACAGAACACCGGAAGAGCGGAGAGUUCAGUGUGUGUUAGCAGUGAAGCUAUUCAGUUGAGUGUAAUGGUUUGUUAGAGGGGCGAGCUGCAGCCUAAGGAAUAGCAGCUCACUCUUAUUUCUAAUAAACCCUGUUGACGGUACUACAUCUGCGGUGUGUUGGUGUCAUUACAGUAUUUACUUACAGUACUACACCACUUUAAAAGGUACAGGAUUGAAAAGGUAAAUGUGGAAUGUGGCAUCUAUAGACGCCAGUUUUUUUUUGUUUUUUUUUUUUUUUUUUUUUACCGUUUUUUGGAAAGAACGGUAAAAAAACAAAAAACAAAACUGGCGUCUGUAGCUACCAGUAUUUUUUUUUAUCAUUCUUUCACAAAAAACAGUAGAUUACCGUUCUUUCGAAAGAACGGUAAA
Molecule: long non-coding RNA, 851 nt
Organism: Poecilia latipinna (sailfin molly)
Lineage: Eukaryota; Metazoa; Chordata; Actinopteri; Cyprinodontiformes; Poeciliidae
Exons: 2
Source: RefSeq, a predicted model, not a curated record